ACUGAACAGCUAGCUCAGCCCGCUACGAUCACAUUGACCCCCGUGAUCAAUCAUAGAUUUAACUCUUGACAACCAAACCAUUUGACCACCCCAGUAUGGGCGACAGAAAAGGACCCAUGGAGCUAUAGAAAAAGUACCGCAAGGGAAAGCUGAAAGAGAGAUGAAAUAGCACAUCAAAGUAAAUCAAAGCAGAGACUUGACCUCGUACCUUUUGCAUCAUGAUCUAGCCAGCAGCUUCGAGCAAAGAGCCCUCUAGUUUGAAACCCCGAAACCCGACGAGCUACUCCGGGGCAGCCAAUUAUAUGGGCAACCCGUCUCUGUGGCAAAAGAGUGGGACGACCCCUGAGUAGGAGUGACAGACCUAUCGAGCCGGGUUAUAGCUGGUUGCCCAAGAAAUGAAUAGAAGUUCAGCCCCGCUAGACCCUAAUCCACAAUAGUUUUACUUAAACAAGGUAAGAGGAUACUUACGGGAGUUAGUCAGAGGAGGAACAGCUCCUCCGACAAAGGACACAACCUUAAUAGGAGGCUAAGGAAUACAUUUUUCAAGGCUACAAGUUUCAGUGGGCCUGAAAGCAGCCAUCUGAACAGAAAGCGUUAAAGCUCAGACCAGAUUGAAGCCUACAAUAAUAUUUUAAUUCCCCUAUGCCCCUAAUUUUUACUGGGCUUUUCCAUGCCCCCAUGGAAGAAACCAUGCUAGAAUGAGUAAUAAGAAGAACGAACUUCUCCCAGCACGCGUGUAAGUCGAAUCGGACUUCCCAUCGACAAUUAACGAGCCCAGUAAAAGAGGGUCAUGCGCCACUGCCGUCCAAGGCCAAGAAAACCCCGCAGCCCCCAUCGUUACCCCCACACAGGUGUGCACCCUAGGGAAAGACUAAAAGAAUGAAAAGGAACUCGGCAAACCUAAACCCCGCCUGUUUACCAAAAACAUCGCCUCCUGCUUGACCCUGUAUAGGAGGUCCCGCCUGCCCCGUGACUUAGAGUUUAACGGCCGCGGUAUUUUAACCGUGCGAAGGUAGCGCAAUCAAUUGUCUCUUAAAUAGAGACCUGUAUGAAUGGCAUUACGAGGGUUUGACUGUCUCUUUUUUCCGGUCAGUGAAAUUGAUCUGCCCGUGCAGAAGCGGGCAUAACACCACAAGACGAGAAGACCCUAUGGAGCUUUAAACGCCAACCAAUCACGAAAAGCAACCGGUAGAACCGGGCUCUUAUCCAGCGUGGCCCUGGCACAAGCGUUUUCGGUUGGGGCGACCAUGGGGGAUAGCAAAGCCCCCGAUGAGGAAUGGGACGACAGUCCUAAAACCAAGAGCCACAGCUCUAAGUCUCAGAAUAUUUGACCGACAAGUGAUCCGGCUCCCUGCCGAUCAACGGACCAAGUUACCCUAGGGAUAACAGCGCAAUCCUCUCCCAGAGUUCAUAUCGACGAGGGGGUUUACGACCUCGAUGUUGGAUCAGGACAUCCUAAUGGCGCAGCCGCUAUUAAGGGUUCGUUUGUUCAACGAUUAAAGUCCUACGUGAUCUGAGUUCAGACCGGAGUAAUCCAGGUCGGUUUCUAUCUGUGAAGCCAUCUUUUCUAGUACGAAAGGACCGAAACGAUGAGGCCUAUGCCCGCCGCACGCCUCCUCCCUACCUGAUGACUACAACUAAACCAGAUAAAGGGGAGCCCCCCUCCGGCCCUAGACAAGGGCCU
This 1684-nucleotide ribosomal RNA is filed under the name Escualosa thoracata (white sardine). Its description in RNAcentral is "16S rRNA". It matches the Rfam family "Bacterial large subunit ribosomal RNA". Lineage: Eukaryota; Metazoa; Chordata; Actinopteri; Clupeiformes; Clupeidae. The record is from RNAcentral.